This 345-nucleotide unclassified non-coding RNA is filed under the name Hevea brasiliensis (rubber tree). Lineage: Eukaryota; Viridiplantae; Streptophyta; Magnoliopsida; Malpighiales; Euphorbiaceae. The record is from RNAcentral.
CGCCGCCGCCAGUCAUCGCCGAGGUUUCUCGGCGCCGCAGCGGUUGAAACGACUCCCACGCUGCUCAAACUCCUCCGUACCGGCGCUCUCGCGCUCGCCGGCGGCUCCGUCAAACAGGGAAUUUUCAGUCGGACAACAUUUCAUAAAGGCAUGGCUACCCGUAAUGCUAGUACCAAGAGUGCAAAGAAGAAGGAAGUGAAGAAGGAAACUGGGCUUGGUCUAACCCACAAGAAGGAUGUGAAUUUUGGAGAAUGGUAUUCGGAGGUUGUUGUUAGCAGUGAGAUGAUUGAAUACUAUGACAUUUCAGGCUGCUACAUCUUAAGGCCUUGGACUAUGGCUAUUUGG